This 385-nucleotide ribosomal RNA is filed under the name unidentified archaeon. RNAcentral describes it as "bacterial SSU rRNA". It matches the Rfam family "Archaeal small subunit ribosomal RNA", at positions 90 to 457 of the family's 1478-position model. The record is from RNAcentral.
UCAGUAACACGUAGUCAACCUGCCCUGGAGACAUGGACAACCCCGGGAAACUGGGAUUAAUCCGUGAUAGGUCAUCUCAUCUGGAAGGCGAGAUGGCUUAAAGGGGUACGCGGGCUUCUUCUGCGUAUCCGCUCCAGGAUGGGACUGCGCCCGAUCAGGCUGUUGGCGGGGUAAUGGCCCACCAAACCUGUAACCGGUACGGGCCUUGAGAGAGGUGGCCCGGAGAUGGACACUGAGAGAAGGGUCCAGGUCCUACGGGGCGCAGCAGGCGCGAAACCUUCGCAAUGCGCGAAAGCGUGACGAGGUUAAUCCGAGUGGCUUCCGCUGAGGAGGCCUUUUGUCAGCUGUAAAUAGGCGGGCGAAUAAGGGGAGGGCAAGCCUGGUG